This 468-nucleotide ribosomal RNA is filed under the name uncultured bacterium. RNAcentral's name for it is "partial 16S ribosomal RNA". It matches the Rfam family "Bacterial small subunit ribosomal RNA", at positions 28 to 507 of the family's 1533-position model. The record is from RNAcentral.
GACGAACGCUGGCGGUGUGCUUAACACAUGCAAGUCGAACGGAAAGGCCCUGCUUUUGUGGGGUGCUCGAGUGGCGAACGGGUGAGUAACACGUGAGUAACCUGCCCUUGACUUUGGGAUAACUUCAGGAAACUGGGGCUAAUACCGGAUAGGAGCUCCUGCUGCAUGGUGGGGGUUGGAAAGUUUCGGCGGUUGGGGAUGGACUCGCGGCUUAUCAGCUUGUUGGUGGGGGAGUGGCUUACCAAGGCUUUGACGGGUAGCCGGCCUGAGAGGGUGACCGGCCACAUUGGGACUGAGAUACGGCCCAGACUCCUACGGGAGGCAGCAGUGGGGAAUAUUGCACAAUGGGCGGAAGCCUGAUGCAGCAACGCCGCGUGCGGGAUGCCGGCCUUCGGGUUGUAAACCGCUUUCGCCUGUGACGAAGCGUGAGUGACGGUAAUGGGUAAAGAAGCACCGGCUAACUACGUG